RNAcentral lists this ribosomal RNA (965 nucleotides) under uncultured bacterium. Its description in RNAcentral is "bacterial SSU rRNA". It matches the Rfam family "Bacterial small subunit ribosomal RNA", at positions 8 to 958 of the family's 1533-position model. The record is from RNAcentral.
AGAGUUUGAUCAUGGCUCAGGACGAACGCUGGCGGCGCGCUUAAUACAUGCAAGUCGAGCGAGAACCAGGGCUUCGGCCCUGGGGACAGCGGCGAACGGGUGAGUAACACGUGGGUAAUCAACCCCCGACACCGGGAUAGCCCGGGGAAACCCGGAUUAAUACCGGAUGCCCCAUCCGGCUUUCGAGCCGGCUGGAAAAGGGUAGCUUCGGCCUCCGGUCGGGGACGAGCCCGCGGCGGAUUAGCUUGUUGGUGAGGUAACGGCUCACCAAGGCGACGAUCCGUAGCUGGUCUGAGAGGACGAUCAGCCACACUGGGACUGAGACACGGCCCAGACUCCUACGGGAGGCAGCAGUAGGGAAUCUUGCGCAAUGGGCGAAAGCCUGACGCAGCGACGCCGCGUGAGGGAAGAAGGCCUUCGGGUUGUAAACCUCUUUCAGGAGGGACGAAGCCACUCGGGUUAAUAGCCCAGAGGGUGACGGUACCUCCAGAAGAAGCCCCGGCUAACUACGUGCCAGCAGCCGCGGUAAUACGUAGGGGGCAAGCGUUGUCCGGAUUUAUUGGGCGUAAAGAGCGUGUAGGCGGCCAGACAGGUCAGCUGUGAAAACUCGAGGCUCAACCUCGAGACGUCGGUUGAAACCGUCUGGCUAGAGUCCGGAAGAGGAGAGUGGAAUUCCCGGUGUAGCGGUGAAAUGCGCAGAUAUCGGGAAGAACACCCGUGGCGAAGGCGGCUCUCUGGGACGGUACUGACGCUGAGACGCGAAAGCGUGGGGAGCGAACAGGAUUAGAUACCCUGGUAGUCCACGCCGUAAACGAUGGGCACUAGGUGUGGCGGGUGUCGACUCCCGCUGUGCCGAAGCUAACGCAUUAAGUGCCCCGCCUGGGGAGUACGGCCGCAAGGCUAAAACUCAAAGGAAUUGACGGGGCCCGCACAAGCAGCGGGAGCAUGUGGUUUAAUUCGACGCA